Long non-coding RNA from Daphnia carinata, 921 nucleotides. RefSeq lists it as uncharacterized. The transcript is spliced from 5 exons. NCBI's taxonomy places the organism in Eukaryota, Metazoa, Arthropoda, Branchiopoda, Diplostraca, Daphniidae. The record is from RefSeq and is a predicted model, not a curated record.
CUACCGGCAUUUCGGUGACGCGGUCUCAGCUCCAUUGUUUCGAGCAUGGUUCUCUAGAUAAAAGGAGGAACAUCGACCUUGUUCUUUCACUUAGACUUGAAUCGUAGCAUGGAGCAGUUUAGUUUAAUUGUAGUUUGGACGAGUCGCAGAAAUCCAGUUAUGCCAUGGAAAUGGCUCUGUUGAAUCUCGAAUAUGGAUUUGAUGCUGGUCUGCUGCAUUCAGUUUUCUCUUGAAUUUCUGGCCUUAGUGUAGCUGUGCCUUGAACAAAUGUUUGCUGUUCUCCAUGUGGUACCUGGAAGGGGAUUGGCUUUUGUUUUAUACAAGGACUUGCAUGGUGGACUGCCGCCCAGGUUCGUUUGGUUCGUACUACUGUUGAUGUUCAAAUUUGCUUUUCUUCCGGAUGUUCCUGGGUAGGUUGAUUUCUCGUGAUGGAUUUACUUCCGUUGGGAUUUCUACUGCAGAGAACUUAUCACGGUGCUGUCAUUUGGACGGUAGGAGGUAUUUACUGACAUUUCCCUGCUUUAUCCAUGCUCUCUUGUGAAAAUGUGCUGUACUCCCUGUGGCUUGUCUACAUCUUAGUGCAGGUCUCUGCGAGCCAUAUGAUCCAGAAGCUGCGGUAUAUAAAAGAAGACCUUGUCGUCAAACUACUGACUGAAGGUAGUUGUACAACAUAACUCAGGCAAUGUGUAUAGAUGAUGAUAACGAGUUACCGUUUGAUUGUGAUGAAAAUCUUUUUUUGGCUGCUUAUACCUGAUGAUGCUUUCCGCAGAUAAUCUGCAGAGUUUUAGGGGUGAAACUAAUUUUCUUUGUAUUUGCAGUGAGGUGUCCUUGCAUUUGUUUGGAGCUGAUUCGUGACUUAAAGCAAUCUUUGGUAUAUUGUGAUCCGAUAUAGCAGUUUUCAAUAAAAAUUGGUUUAUCAAA